CAAUUAAACACAAAUUUUUAUCAACAUAAAGUAUAAAAAAGAAAAUAUCUAUCCGAUUCUUAAAGAAAAAACAUAAUGCCAUAUUAUUUGUCCAUUCCUUUAUCUGCCCGGCAAGGACUUAACUAUUUAUGUCUUUAGAUGAUUCUUUAUAUACUUUUGUUUGUUUCACUUAAAAUGGCAUGGUUUGAGUGACAAAAAAAACCAUUUUUAUCAUGAGUGAGAAGAUGGUCCAGCACAUGCACAGUCCUCGUUAUUGGUUAGCAGUAUCAGAUGAUGAUAUUCAAUGUUCACAUGAUCAAAGUUUGUCAAG
Molecule: long non-coding RNA, 310 nt
Filed under: Glycine max (soybean)
Lineage: Eukaryota; Viridiplantae; Streptophyta; Magnoliopsida; Fabales; Fabaceae
Description: long non-coding RNA (GMAX_LNC001339)
Source: RNAcentral